This 72-nucleotide transfer RNA is filed under the name Camelus bactrianus (Bactrian camel). It matches the Rfam family "tRNA". Rfam says of the family: Transfer RNA (tRNA) molecules are approximately 80 nucleotides in length. Their secondary structure includes four short double-helical elements and three loops (D, anti-codon, and T loops). RNAcentral also lists the same sequence under 2 other names. The record is from Rfam by way of RNAcentral. Lineage: Eukaryota; Metazoa; Chordata; Mammalia; Artiodactyla; Camelidae.
GUGGGUAUAGCUCAGUGGUAGAGUGCAUGCUUAGCAUGCAUGAGGUCCUGGGUUCAACCCCCAGUCCCUCCA